GGGGGUGUAGGGUUGCGGCGCUCUGAGGACGGGGAUGGCGCGGAGCACUAGAAACAGUGAGUUUCUGUCUAGAUCGUGGGGUACCCAGGGGGGUGGGUCCGAGGUCGGGGAUGGAGAGGACGCGACCCCCGCGGCAGUCGAGCUGGCCUUUUUAAAAUUCUAUGUUUGAGAAAGAGUCUCCCGCUGUCGCCCAGGGUGGAGCGCAAUGGCGCGAAAUCGACUCACUGCAGCCUCGACCGCCAGGACUCGAGCGAUCCUCCCGCCUCAGCGUCUCGAGAAGGUGGGACCACCGGUGGGCACCGCCACGCCCGACUAAUUUUUAUUAAUGUUUUGCUAGAGCCAGGAUCUUGCUGUGUAGUCCAGACUGGUCUUGAACUCCUGGACUUCAGCGAUCCUCCCUCCUCGGCCCCCAAAGCGCUGGGAUUGAGAGCAUGAGCCACACUGCGCCUGGCCAAGCUAGUCCAUUUUGAUUGACCUUCACUUCAUGUCAAUUUAUUUUUUACUUUUCAAUUUGUUUAUUUUUACUAAAUUUAUUUUUAUUUUUAAUUAUUUAUAAAUUUAAUUUAAUUAUAUAUUAAUAUAUUAUAAUUAUAUAUUAAUACAAAAAUAAUUUAAUAUUUAUAUUUAAACUAUUAAAAAUAAAUUUAAAUUUAUUUUUACUAUUCAAUUUAGUCCUCAGAACAGUUCCUUAGAAUUGGGUAUUGCCCAGUUUACAUGGGAAACAUAGCAUCCAGGUAACGGGCUGGGUCCCGUGCUGGUAAUGGGAGCCCUGCUUGUCUGACUGCUUGCACCCCCUGCUGUCUAUGCUGGGCGCCGUGGGGUGCAUUAGGGAAGAGACCUGAAGAUGCAAUGCCUGUCCUCAAGGAGCCCAUUGUUCUCACGGGGACACAAAGCUGACACAUCAGGAACAAACUAUGGAACUGGCUGUGGUUGGGGGCCAUGAAGGAAAGCUGCCAAGUCUGGGCCCAGCCAGGUAGCGGCCACACCUCUACCCUGCUCCCCAACACUGGGCACCAGCACUUGCCUGCCCAGGACCCACAGUGAAAACCCACCCAUAAAAAAUGCACUUUGAAGAAGAGUAGCGGGUCCCAGGCAGAGCCAGGGCCACCUCUCAGAAAGGACCUCAAGUUUCUCGCCCAACUGAGAGAUGGACAGAUGACCGCACAAGCCACUCGCAGCCCAAGGUGAUAGACUAGGAUAUAUUCAAGGCUGUGCAACUGGCUUGAAGUCGUGUCUACUAACAUAUUCGAAGACCUAUGGAGCAUUCACAAGUUGUUCUUUUUACCCUCCAACUGGAUGUGUUCACAGCCAGUCUACCUAGGAAUGCUGUUGGCUGUGAAAACUCCAGAGAUGAAAACUCCAGAGGCUGGUGUCUUUAGAGUUCCAUCAGGGUGCUUUCAGCAUCUGGGCCCAGCAACUCUUGAGGUGAAAGUGCUCAUCCUUUUUUUUUUUUUUUUGAGACAGUCUCGCUCUGUCGCCCGGGCUGGAGUGCAGUGGCGCGAUCUCAAAGUACUCAUCUUUAUGUACUUUGGAUGCCAGUGAAUGUCUAUUGUUUUAGCCACCUGGAUCACUUUACCUGUUAACUAUUCCAAUGUGAGUUUACUUCAUGGGAUUGUCCCUGUUUUUAAAGAACAUUCUGGCCAGGCAUGGUGGCUCACGCCUGUAAUCCCAGCACUUUGGGAGGCCGAGGCGGGCGGAUCACCUGAGGUCGGGAGUCUGAGACCAGCCUGACCAAUGUGGAGAAACCCUGUCUGUAUUUAAAAUGCAAAAUUAGCCAGGUGUGGCGGUGCAUGCCUGUAAUGCCAGUUACUCGGAGGCUGAGGCAGGAGAGUCACUUGAACCCGGAAGGCGGAGAUUGCGGUGACCUGAGAUUGCACCAUUGCACUCUAGCCUGGGCAACAAGAGCAAAACUCUGUCUCAAAAAAAAAAAAAGAAAAAAUCUAUGUGAUUUAAAGAUCAGCCUCCUCUUCCACGGCCAGCCCAGUAUUUGAGACUGCUAUGGUUUGAAUGCCGGUCCCCUCUGAAACUCAUGUUGAAAUUUAAUUGCCGUCAUACCAGUAUUAAGAUGUAGCACCUUUAAGAGGUGAUUAGGCCAUGAGGACUCUACCGUCAGGAAUGGGUUAAUGUUGUUAUCAUGGGACUGGGUUUGUUAUUCAAGUAUUUUUUAUAAAAGGACUAGUCUGUCCCCCUUUUGGCACGCUCUUGCCCUCUCUUUGCUGUUCCACCAGGGGAUGACACAGCAAGAAGGCCCUUGCCAGUUGUCAGCCCUUCAGUCUUGGACUUCCCAGUCUCCAGAACCAUGAGCCAAUACAUUUCUGUUCAUUAUGUAAAUUACCUAGUCUGUGGUAUUCUGUUAUGGCAGCACAAAGCAGGGUAAGACAGAGGCAAAGACUCACCUGUACAAAGGUGGAAGCUUCAAAAGAAGCCAUUCGUGUAUGGGGUGGCGCUGCGGAAGGACCACUGUAGAGAAUCCCUCACCAGUAAGGAACUGUGUUAAUCAGGUAACUAAUUAAUUUUUUAAAAAGUUUUUUAAGAGACAGGGUCUCACUCUAUUGCCCAGGCUGGAACAGUGGUGCAAUCAUAGCUCACUAACGGUGACCUCCUGGGCUCAAGUGAUCCUCCCACCUCAGCCUCCUGAAUAGCUGGGAACACAGGCAUGUGCCACCACACCUGGCUAAUUUAUUUAUUUAUUUACUUAUUAUUAUUUUUUGCAGAGACAGUCUCCCUAUGUUGCCCAGGCUGGUCUUAAACUCCUGGGCUCAAGCAGUCCUCCCACUUCAGCCUCCCAAAAUGCUGAGAUGACAGGCAUGAGCCACUGCAUCUGGCCCCAGAUUUUCUUUUUUAAAAAAGCAACAUGUGUAUGAUACUGUAGGGGAGGGAAAUAUCUACUUCCUCCUCUUAGGGUCCUGGCUGGGCCUGGGAACUAAGUUGAAAUCAGAUGGAUUAACAGGAGAAAUGUAUACAAAUUUAAUGUCGCCUUCAUGUGACACAGAACCCUCCUAAGGAAGCAAAGACCCAGAAAAGUGACGAAACCUAUGUGUUUUUGCAAGAGGUUGAACAAAGAGGCAGUUGUGGAAAAGUAAACCAUGUGGGGAGGCUUGAGAACAACAGGAAUUACUUUAAUUACUUCAAUGUCUGUACAGAAUUCUGUCGGCUAUGAUGUGCUUCCCUGUAAAGGAAUAUUUCUUUGCCCGGUACGGGAAAGGAGUCUUUCUUUUCUUUUCUUUCUUUUUUUUUUUUUAAAGACAGUCUCACUCUGUCACCCAGGCUUGAGUGCAGUGAUGCAAUCUCGGCUCACUGCAACCUCUGCUGCCCAGGUUCAAGCGAUUCUCGUGCCUCAGGAGAAUCGCUUGAGAUUACAGGCACCUGCCACCGCGCUCGGCUAAUUUUUGUAUUUUUAGUAGAGACAGGGUUUCACCAUAUUGGUCAGGCUGGUCUUGAACUCCUGACCUCAUGAUCCACCCGCCUCGGUCUCCCAAAGUGCUGGGAUUACAGGUGUGAGCCACUGCACCUGGCCGGGAAGGCAUCUUUCACAUGGGCAUUUUUAUCUCCUGUCUUCAGGAGGAAAAGGAGAGAUUCAAUGAUGCUCUUGCCAGUGCCAUCUUUCAAGUGCCUGAGGUAGAAGUGAUUCUCACGUCAAAGUCACAGAGUCAGCCACCCUUCGAUCCCAAUGGAAACGUCCUAAAAGCUGUUUACAGCGAACAGUUUCCCUUCCUCCCCGACCCCAGACCCUAGUUCCCUGCCCACUUGGAAUCAUGAUUACGGGUUUCCUGUCGCCAUUCUAGAGACUUUUAUACAAAGAGAGUUUUAUCUAUGAGAAAAUAUUUUAUAGUGAUCCUGUUCUUCAUACCAAUUAAACCAACUUCCCUGAUC
Long non-coding RNA from Macaca fascicularis (crab-eating macaque), 3873 nucleotides. NCBI's taxonomy places the organism in Eukaryota, Metazoa, Chordata, Mammalia, Primates, Cercopithecidae. The record is from Ensembl.